This 227-nucleotide ribosomal RNA is filed under the name uncultured bacterium. RNAcentral describes it as "partial 16S ribosomal RNA". It matches the Rfam family "Bacterial small subunit ribosomal RNA", at positions 524 to 751 of the family's 1533-position model. The record is from RNAcentral.
UACGUAGGGUCCAAGCGUUAUCCGGAAUCACUGGGCGUAAAGCGUGCGUAGGUGGAUGUUUAAGUGAGAUGUUAAAUCGUGUGGCUCAACCAUAUCGGUGCAUCUCAUACUGGGCAUCUAGAGGACGGCAGAGGCAAGUGGAAUUGGUAGUGUAGCAGUGAAAUGCGUAGAUAUUACCAGGAACACCAAUGGCGAAGGCGGCUUCUGGGCCACUCCUGACACUGAGG